This is a small nucleolar RNA of Rosa rugosa (rugosa rose), 84 nucleotides long. RefSeq annotates it as small nucleolar RNA U83. NCBI's taxonomy places the organism in Eukaryota, Viridiplantae, Streptophyta, Magnoliopsida, Rosales, Rosaceae. The record is from RefSeq and is a predicted model, not a curated record. The transcript has a single exon.
UGCCAAUGAUGAUGAUAUGGUUAUCGUGUAAUUUAUGACCCUCCGUGAUUACACACAUACCUCUACUGCCUUCCUUCUGAGGCU